Long non-coding RNA from Salvelinus fontinalis (brook trout), 557 nucleotides. RefSeq lists it as uncharacterized. NCBI's taxonomy places the organism in Eukaryota, Metazoa, Chordata, Actinopteri, Salmoniformes, Salmonidae. The record is from RefSeq and is a predicted model, not a curated record. The transcript has 5 exons.
CUGAAAACGCCGGACCCUGUGAGCAACUGUACAUACAACCUGUUGUACCAAGAUUUGAAGAGGUUUUCCAACAAUGGGGAGCAUUUCUGCAAGGUCAUGACAGUAUUUCAGCAAAGGGCUGAGCUGGAGAUCAGUUAUGCCAAGGGACUGCAGAAGCUUGCUGGGAAACUCAUCAAGGCAUCCAAGUUGAUGAAUGACAACUUGAUAAUGUUGUUGAGGAAACCGGAAAACUUGUUGUGACUAACUGGAGUGAACAAAUCAAGGUCACCAGGCUGCUCGUUUAUGGCGCACACCUGUCACCAGCAUUUCGCGCAAUUGUGCAUAAUGACACUCACCUGGACUCCAUCACCUCCUUGAUUACCUGCCCUUUAUAUGUCACUCCCUUUGGUUUCUUCCCAAGUCGACAUUGUUUCUGUUGCUGUUUCAUGUCGGUGCGCUGUUUGUGUUUCUUGUUUUCUUUAUUUAUUAAACGUAUUCACUCCCUGAACUUGCUUCCUGACUCUCAGCAUACAUCAUUACACCUAUAAGGAGCAUUGGUAGCAAAUCUGACGGCCAAA